Molecule: long non-coding RNA, 809 nt
Filed under: Mus musculus (house mouse)
Lineage: Eukaryota; Metazoa; Chordata; Mammalia; Rodentia; Muridae
Description: small nucleolar RNA host gene 5
Source: RNAcentral
AAAAGGAGCUGCGGUGAACCGGGCUCGUUCUUUUACGACGGAGCCUAAGAUAUUCUUUGUCUUGUCGGUUUUUACAGCAGGGUUUGCAGCCUUUUGUGCUGUUCCGAAGGUACUAGAGUCACCGAAAGAGACAUCCUAUUAUAUGCACGUUCACAAGGACAAUGGCGCCAUUGUUCUUCGCGUCUUCAAAGCAGCUACAAGAAGAAACCAAGAUGGAGGGGAGCCCAAAGCAUCUGAGAGAAUUGAUAAAUGAAAGAAACAUGCUUAAAACAUGACCGUUUUAAAGGUGAAUGCUGACCAGUGAGAUGCCAGCCUGCGUGUGAAGAUCCUACAGCAGAAGUGCAUGGCCAGUGACACAAGAACUUGCGAGAGAUGCCAGUCCGCCUGUGAAGAUCCUGCAGCAGGAGUGCAUAGCCAGUGACACAAGACGUGCGAAUGAAAACUAGAUGUGACCAUCCAGAAAAAGCAUAGACAAAAAAAUGCAGUCUUAGUACUGGGAUGUUUGAGAUGGGGUCUAUCUACAUGUCUCUAGCUGUCCCUAUCAGGACAGCAUCUGGUGUGGCCUGCAGAGUUGAUUCCUGUACUUUUUUUUUUUUGUGGGCUGUAUGUAAAUGGAUUGUUUUGACAAUCCAUUCGACAGUGUUCUCUUCUGUGAAGGUCAUAGGUGAGCUGAUUGACAGACACAGCUGUACAGACUGAAUGCAAUCCUGACUAUAAAGCUGCAGUUCAUCAUUAUGAGCUAUUUCCUUAUUCUGGCAGUGAUUGAAAUAAAAUGGGGAGUAUUGAAAUAAAAAACAUUCAAUUGCAAA